This 236-nucleotide ribosomal RNA is filed under the name uncultured Candidatus Saccharibacteria bacterium. RNAcentral's name for it is "partial 16S ribosomal RNA". It matches the Rfam family "Bacterial small subunit ribosomal RNA", at positions 584 to 818 of the family's 1533-position model. The record is from RNAcentral. Lineage: Bacteria; Candidatus Saccharimonadota.
UAAGUAGAUAGUGAAAUCUGGUGGCUCAACCAUUCAGACUAUUAUCUAAACUGAUAGACUCGAGAGCGUUAGGGGUAGCUGGAAUUUCUAGUGUAGGAGUGAAAUCCGUAGAUAUUAGAAAGAACACCGAUAGCGUAGGCAGGCUACUGGGACGUUUCUGACACUAAGGCACGAAAGCGUGGGGAGCAAACGGGAUUAGAUACCCCGGUAGUCCACGCUGUAAACGAUGGAUACUA